AGACCCGAAACCCGGUGAUCUAGCCAUGGGCAGGUUGAAGGUUGGGUAACACUAACUGGAGGACCGAACCGACUAAUGUUGAAAAAUUAGCGGAUGACCUGUGGCUGGGGGUGAAAGGCCAAUCAAACCGGGAGAUAGCUGGUUCUCCCCGAAAGCUAUUUAGGUAGCGCCUCGUGAAUUCAUCUCCGGGGGUAGAGCACUGUUUCGGCUAGGGGGCCAUCCCGGCUUACCAACCCGAUGCAAACUGCGAAUACCGGAGAAUGUUAUCACGGGAGACACACGGCGGGUGCUAACGUCCGUCGUGAAGAGGGAAACAACCCAGACCGCCAGCUAAGGUCCCAAAGUCAUGGUUAAGUGGGAAACGAUGUGGGAAGGCCCAGACAGCCAGGAUGUUGGCUUAGAAGCAGCCAUCAUUUAAAGAAAGCGUAAUAGCUCACUGGUCGAGUCGGCCUGCGCGGAAGAUGUAACGGGGCUAAACCAUGCACCGAAGCUGCGGCAGCGACACUGUGUGUUGUUGGGUAGGGGAGCGUUCUGUAAGCCUGCGAAGGUGGCCUGUGAGGGUUGCUGGAGGUAUCAGAAGUGCGAAUGCUGACAUAAGUAACGAUAAAGCGGGUGAAAAGCCCGCUCGCCGGAAGACCAAGGGUUCCUGUCCAACGUUAAUCGGGGCAGGGUGAGUCGACCCCUAAGGCGAGGCCGAAAGGCGUAGUCGAUGG
This 713-nucleotide ribosomal RNA is filed under the name Salmonella enterica subsp. enterica serovar Enteritidis. Its description in RNAcentral is "partial 23S ribosomal RNA". It matches the Rfam family "Bacterial large subunit ribosomal RNA", at positions 711 to 1421 of the family's 2925-position model. Lineage: Bacteria; Pseudomonadati; Pseudomonadota; Gammaproteobacteria; Enterobacterales; Enterobacteriaceae. The record is from RNAcentral.